AUUGAACGCUGGCGGCAGGCCUAACACAUGCAAGUCGAGCGGAGCGGCGGACGGGCGAGUAAUGCCUAGGAAUCUGCCUGGUAGUUGGGGAUAACUUCCGACAACGGGCGCUAAUUCCGCAUAUUAUCAGUUUAGUCUACGUCGGCUUAGCUAGUUGGUGGGGUAGAGACUUACCAAGGCGACGAUCCGUAACUGGUCUGAGAGGAUGAUCAGUCACACUGGGACUGAGACACGGUCCAGACUCCUACGGGAGGCAGCAGUGGGGAAUAUUGGACAAUGGGCGAAAGCCUGAUCCAGCCAUGCCGCGUGUGUGAAGAAGGUCUUCGGAUUGUAAAGCACUUUAAGUUGGGAGGCGUUACCAACAGAAUAAGCACCGGCUAACUUCGUGCCAGCAGCCGCGGUAAUUC
Molecule: ribosomal RNA, 407 nt
Filed under: uncultured bacterium
Lineage: Bacteria
Description: partial 16S ribosomal RNA
Rfam family: Bacterial small subunit ribosomal RNA
Source: RNAcentral